GUCCUUUUGAGUUUAAUUUAAGGUCUGACCUGCCCACUGAAAUUUUUUGAAGGGCCGCAGUAAUUUGACUGUGCAAAGGUAGCAUAAUCAUUAGUUUUUUAAUUGAAAGCUUGUAUGAAGGGUUGGACGAGGUAAAUUCUGUCUCUAUUUAAUUUUAUAUAGAAUUUAAUUUUUAAGUUAAAAAGCUUAAAUUUUUUUAAAAGACGAGAAGACCCUAUAGAUCUUUAUAUUAAAAGUAUUAAUUUUAAUUAAGAAUAUUUAAUUUUUUAGUAUUUAUAAUAUUUUAUUGGGGUAAUGAAAAGAUUAAAUUAAUUCUUUUUUUAUUUUAACAUUUAUUUAUGAUUAUAUGAUCCAAUUUUAUUGAUUAAAAGAUUAAGUUACCUUAGGGAUAACAGCGUAAUUUUUUUAGAGAGUUCAUAUCGAUAAAAAAGUUUGCGACCUCGAUGUUGGAUUAAAAAUUAUCUUAGGUGCAGAAGUUUAAGAUUUUGGUCUGUUCGACCAUUAAAUUUUU
RNAcentral lists this ribosomal RNA (511 nucleotides) under Agabus amoenus. RNAcentral's name for it is "partial 16S ribosomal RNA". It matches the Rfam family "Bacterial large subunit ribosomal RNA", at positions 1819 to 2597 of the family's 2925-position model. Lineage: Eukaryota; Metazoa; Arthropoda; Insecta; Coleoptera; Dytiscidae. The record is from RNAcentral.